UCCACCGAUUGACUAAGGUUUCCAGAGGAAGGCUCGUCCGCUCUGGGUUAGUCGGGUCCUAAGCUGAGGCCGACAGGCGUAGGCGAUGGAUAACAGGUUGAUAUUCCUGUACCACCUAUAAUCGUUUUAAUCGAUGGGGGGACGCAGUAGGAUAGGCGAAGCGUGCGAUUGGAUUGCACGUCUAAGCAGUAAGGCUGAGUAUUAGGCAAAUCCGGUACUCGUUAAGGCUGAGCUGUGAUGGGGAGAAGACAUUGUGUCUUCGAGUCGUUGAUUUCACACUGCCGAGAAAAGCCUCUAGAUAGAAAAUAGGUGCCCGUACCGCAAACCGACACAGGUAGUCAAGAUGAGAAUUCUAAGGUGAGCGAGCGAACUCUCGUUAAGGAACUCGGCAAAAUGACCCCGUAACUUCGGGAGAAGGGGUGCUCUUUAGGGUUAACGCCCAGAAGAGCCGCAGUGAAUAGGCCCAAGCGACUGUUUAUCAAAAACACAGGUCUCUGCUAAACCGUAAGGUGAUGUAUAGGGGCUGACGCCUGCCCGGUGCUGGAAGGUUAAGAGGAGUGGUUAGCUUCUGCGAAGCUACGAAUCGAAGCCCCAGUAAACGGCGGCCGUAACUAUAACGGUCCUAAGGUAGCGAAAUUCCUUGUCGGGUAAGUUCCGACCCGCACGAAAGGCGUAACGAUUUGGGCACUGUCUCAACG
RNAcentral lists this ribosomal RNA (698 nucleotides) under Staphylococcus aureus. RNAcentral's name for it is "partial 23S ribosomal RNA". It matches the Rfam family "Bacterial large subunit ribosomal RNA", at positions 1333 to 2026 of the family's 2925-position model. Lineage: Bacteria; Bacillati; Bacillota; Bacilli; Caryophanales; Staphylococcaceae. The record is from RNAcentral.